UGUUCCUAGAGGUGUCUUGCAAUGGCGGCAGGGCGAGGCCUAAUAUCGUUGUGUGUCUGUAGCUGAGGGCACCUCCUUACCUAGUUGUAGUCGCUUGGUGAGGACGGUCGUGUGUGUGUGUGUGUGUGUGUGUGUGUGUCUGUGUGUGUGUCCCUCCUUUCUGGAGGUUGUACCCCCGAUGUCUUCUUCCUGUUCAAUGCAAUGAAA
This 207-nucleotide long non-coding RNA is filed under the name Hordeum vulgare. Its description in RNAcentral is "long non-coding RNA (HVUL_LNC018768)". The record is from RNAcentral. Lineage: Eukaryota; Viridiplantae; Streptophyta; Magnoliopsida; Poales; Poaceae.